AUUGAACGCUGGCGGCAUGCCUUACACAUGCAAGUCGAACGGUAACGGGUCCUUCGGGAUGCCGACGAGUGGCGAACGGGUGAGUAAUAUAUCGGAACGUGCCCAGUAGUGGGGGAUAACUGCUCGAAAGAGCAGCUAAUACCGCAUACGACCUGAGGGUGAAAGGGGGGGAUCGCAAGACCUCUCGCUAUUGGAGCGGCCGAUAUCAGAUUAGCUAGUUGGGGGGGUAAAGGCCUACCAAGGCAACGAUCUGUAGUUGGUCUGAGAGGACGACCAGCCACACUGGGACUGAGAGACGGCCCAGACUCCUACGGGGGGCAGCAGUGGGGAAUUUUGGACAAUGGGCGCAAGCCUGAUCCAGCAAUGCCGCGUGCAGGAAGAAGGCCUUCGGGUUGUAAACUGCUUUUGUCAGGGAAGAAAUCUUCUGGGCUAAUACCCCGGGAGGAUGACGGUACCUGAAGAAUAAGCACCGGCUAACUACGUGCCAGCCGCCGCGGUAA
Molecule: ribosomal RNA, 500 nt
Filed under: uncultured bacterium
Lineage: Bacteria
Description: partial 16S ribosomal RNA
Rfam family: Bacterial small subunit ribosomal RNA
Source: RNAcentral